This 347-nucleotide ribosomal RNA is filed under the name uncultured bacterium. RNAcentral describes it as "bacterial SSU rRNA". It matches the Rfam family "Bacterial small subunit ribosomal RNA", at positions 32 to 368 of the family's 1533-position model. The record is from RNAcentral.
AAUCAACGCUGGCGGCGUGCCUAACACAUGCAAGUCGAACGCGAGAGGGGCUUCGGCCCUGAUUGAGUGGCAAACGGGUGAGUAACGCGUGGGUGACCUACCUUCGAGUGGGGGAUAACGUUCCGAAAGGGACGCUAAUACCGCAUAACAUCCUGUCUUUGGACAGAUGGAGAUCAAAGCCGGGAUCGUAAGACCUGGCGCUUGAGGAGGGCCCGCGUCCGAUUAGCUAGUGGUGGGAAUGGCUCACCAAGGCAACGAUCGGUAGCCGGCCUGAGAGGGCGGACGGCCACACUGGGACUGAGACACGGCCCAGACUCCUACGGGAGGCAGCAGUGGGGAAUUUUGGG